ACGGGGCCGCCCCGCGAGGGACGGCGCCGCCCCGGGGCUCGUGAUAUCUCAUCUCGGCCGCCCGUCGCGAGGCGGACGGAGGGAUGGAUGAGGUUACCUAGGAAAAAAAUCGGGGCGAUCUAGGCGGGCGAACCUCGCCAACGAACGAUCGGACAUGGGAUAACGGAAGAGGGCGUCGGCUCGACUUCGUCGGUUCCUCGGGCCGAGGCACGUACGGUGAAUAGGGACGGUCGGGGCCGCCCCGUACCGGGUCGUGAGAGGUGAAAUUCUAGGAUCGACCCGAGACGAACCGCCGCGAAAGCAUUCGGCAAGGACGCUUUCAUUAAUCAAGAACGAAAUCGGGGGGAUCGAAGACGAUCAGAUACCGUCGUAGUCCCGACCGUAAACGAUGCCGACCGAGGGGCCCCGGAGGAGUUACGUACGACCCUCCGGGCCCUCCCGCGAGAAAUCAGGA
This 454-nucleotide ribosomal RNA is filed under the name uncultured eukaryote. RNAcentral describes it as "bacterial SSU rRNA". It matches the Rfam family "Eukaryotic small subunit ribosomal RNA", at positions 729 to 1102 of the family's 1831-position model. The record is from RNAcentral.